This 24-nucleotide non-coding RNA is filed under the name Arabidopsis thaliana (thale cress). Lineage: Eukaryota; Viridiplantae; Streptophyta; Magnoliopsida; Brassicales; Brassicaceae. The record is from RNAcentral.
GAAAGCUUUUGGAUUGUUCUACUA